GUCCCCUUCGUCUAGAGGCCGAGGACACCGCCCUUUUCACACGGCGGUAACAGGGUUUCGAAUCCCCUAGGGGACGCCA
This 79-nucleotide transfer RNA is filed under the name Salmonella enterica subsp. enterica. RNAcentral's name for it is "tRNA-OTHER". Lineage: Bacteria; Pseudomonadati; Pseudomonadota; Gammaproteobacteria; Enterobacterales; Enterobacteriaceae. The record is from RNAcentral.